CCCUUAGAUGUUCUGGGCUGCACGCGUGCUACAAUGGCGUUUCCAGCAAGUCUGCGAACCCGAGAGGGCCAGCGGAUCUUCGAAUUGGCGUCGUGAUCGGGACAGUCGAUUGCAAUUAUUUGACUCAAACGAGGAAUUCCUUGUAAUCGCGAUUCAUCAUAUCGCGCUGAAUGCGUCCCUGCCCUUUGUACACACCGCCCGUCGCUCCUACCGAUUGAGCGAUCCGGUAAAUGUUUUGGAUUGGUGCCGGGGCGGCUAGCUGCCGGUCGCUACGAAAUUUUGUGAACCUUAUCGCUUAGAGGAAGGAAAAGUCGUAACA
RNAcentral lists this ribosomal RNA (319 nucleotides) under uncultured eukaryote. Its description in RNAcentral is "partial 18S ribosomal RNA". It matches the Rfam family "Eukaryotic small subunit ribosomal RNA", at positions 1470 to 1796 of the family's 1831-position model. The record is from RNAcentral.